AGCGAACGCUGGCGGCAGGCCUAACACAUGCAAGUCGAACGAACUCUUCGGAGUUAGUGGCGGACGGGUGAGUAACACGUGGGAACGUGCCUUUUGGUUCGGAAUAACUCAGGGAAACUUGUGCUAAUACCGAAUGUGCCCUUCGGGGGAAAGAUUUAUCGCCAUUAGAGCGGCCCGCGUCUGAUUAGCUAGUUGGUGAGGUAACGGCUCACCAAGGCGACGAUCAGUAGCUGGUCUGAGAGGAUGACCAGCCACACUGGGACUGAGACACGGCCCAGACUCCUACGGGAGGCAGCAGUGGGGAAUCUUGCGCAAUGGGCGAAAGCCUGACGCAGCCAUGCCGCGUGAAUGAUGAAGGUCUUAGGAUUGUAAAAUUCUUUCACCGGGGACGAUAAUGACGGUACCCGGAGAAGAAGCCCCGGCUAACUUCGUGC
RNAcentral lists this ribosomal RNA (434 nucleotides) under uncultured bacterium. RNAcentral describes it as "partial 16S ribosomal RNA". It matches the Rfam family "Bacterial small subunit ribosomal RNA", at positions 29 to 508 of the family's 1533-position model. The record is from RNAcentral.